ACUGCUAAUACCGGAUGAUGACGUAAGUCCAAAGAUUUAUCGCCGAGGGAUGAGCCCGCGUAGGAUUAGGUAGUUGGUGUGGUAAAGGCGCACCAAGCCGACGAUCCUUAGCUGGUCUGAGAGGAUGAUCAGCCACACUGGGACUGAGACACGGCCCAGACUCCUACGGGAGGCAGCAGUGGGGAAUAUUGGACAAUGGGCGAAAGCCUGAUCCAGCAAUGCCGCGUGAGUGAUGAAGGCCUUAGGGUUGUAAAGCUCUUUUACCCGGGAUGAUAAUGACAGUACCGGGAGAAUAAGCUCCGGCUAACUCCGUGCCAGCAGCCGCGGUAAUACGGAGGGAGCUAGCGUUAUUCGGAAUUACUGGGCGUAAAGCGCACGUAGGCGGCUUUGUAAGUAAGAGGUGAAAGCCCAGAGCUCAACUCUGGAAUUGCCUUUUAGACUGCAUCGCUUGAAUCAUGGAGAGGUCAGUGGAAUUCCGAGUGUAGAGGUGAAAUUCGUAG
RNAcentral lists this ribosomal RNA (500 nucleotides) under Sphingomonas faeni. RNAcentral describes it as "bacterial SSU rRNA". It matches the Rfam family "Bacterial small subunit ribosomal RNA", at positions 159 to 693 of the family's 1533-position model. Lineage: Bacteria; Pseudomonadati; Pseudomonadota; Alphaproteobacteria; Sphingomonadales; Sphingomonadaceae. The record is from RNAcentral.